RNAcentral lists this ribosomal RNA (253 nucleotides) under uncultured bacterium. RNAcentral describes it as "partial 16S ribosomal RNA". It matches the Rfam family "Bacterial small subunit ribosomal RNA", at positions 524 to 776 of the family's 1533-position model. The record is from RNAcentral.
UACGAAGGGGGCUAGCGUUGUUCGGAAUCACUGGGCGUAAAGCGCACGCAGGCGGAUUGAUAAGUCGGGGGUGAAAUCCCGGGGCUCAACCUCGGAAUUGCCUUCGAUACUGUCUGUCUUGAGUCCGGGAGAGAUGAGUGGAAUUCCUAGUGUAGCGGUGAAAUGCGCAGAUAUCAGGAGGAACACCAAUUGCGAAGGCAGCUCGCUGGGACGUUACUGACGCUGAGACGCGAAAGCGUGGGGAGCAAACAGG